CUUCCUCUACCUUUCUAUCCAAACAAUUUCUCUGGUUCAAGUUAGCUUCCGGAACUUGUGGGCUCAAGCUAUUGAGCAUAUGGGUAUGGUGUAGUUUAAGAGGGUGUUUAUGCAUUGAACUUGAAUUUGGAUUACUUGGAGCUUUGUUGGUGACAAGGCUUGCUUUGGGGCUGUUUGAUUGAGCUUGGAGGGGCUGUGAUUUUAUGUUGAGAAGCUUCCUUGGGUGAAUUAAGUGAUCGGCCAAGGUAUGGUUUAAGUUUCGCACGUUUAAUAUUUACGGUGUUGUGAAAACUUAGGUUAGAGGAACCAUAGAAUAAGUUGGAUUGUUUGUUGUAUUUAAUGAUUAGCCUUGUAAUGUUGUUAGAAUAUAUUUGUUAGUGAAUUUAUAUAUUAGAAUUAUGAGGUGUGAAAGCUAUUAAUGGUGUGCUCUUAUAUUUAUUUAUGAUGGAUUAGAAUUGGUGUUUGUUAAUAAGGAUGUAGAGUUGUGUUGUGGUGGUAUUGUAUAUGCUGUAACUAAUUAUGUAAUGAUCGGAAUUGCAUGAGACCAAGUUUGGGAUAAACUUGGGAAUAUAAGGAACUAAACUGAAAAAUUUGGGACCUUUUUGUUAAAUAUACAAUUU
Non-coding RNA from Arachis ipaensis, 620 nucleotides. Lineage: Eukaryota; Viridiplantae; Streptophyta; Magnoliopsida; Fabales; Fabaceae. The record is from RefSeq and is a predicted model, not a curated record.